UUUGGCAGAAAAAUAACCUAAGCUCUUUAUACAAAUAUUUUACAAAUUCAAAGACAUUUAAAGUUAUAGAACUGUUCAUAAACAAUAUUUGCAAUUACCAUAAUUUUAAGUCAGUUAUCUGUCUAUCUGAAUCUGAAUGUAGUUAUGUAAGUUUUUUACAGAAGUUACUGUAGACACACUUUAUAACAUUACACGCAAAAAUGUAAGUGACAAUUAAAUCAGUAGGGGAAAGUGGGGGAAACGCGAACGCUGGGUAAUGCCGAAUUCAAUGGUUCUAAUAUGUUAGAAAGAUAUAUCCUAAUUUUAUUUGCCGCCAUUUCGGAGAUCACGCCACCACUGAUAUUAGUCAAUAACACGGGAGACGCGGACGCACGUACUUAAACAGGAACAAACUAACACUCUGCCCUGCAAGUUCAGUCUUAUGAUCAUUGGCUUAGAGUGUCAAUUCAACUGGAAUCAUCAAAAAUUUAAAUACCAACAGCACGGUCAGUAAUUACGUACAGUCGCUCGGCGAAGGCGUCUAGACAGAGCAAUCGUGCUGAGUGACAGAGAUGAGACCCGGAAAACGCGAGCCUGAGGUACAUCAACGCUGUCUCAUAAGAUUGCCGAUAAUACCUUUCAGGGCUGAAGAGUUUUAUAAUUUAAACAGUGGUGAUUUACACUAGGGGCAAUCGGGGCAAGUGCCCACGGCGGCAAAUUUUUUAGGAUGCAAAAUUUUGAAAGUUUAUUUUUUUUUUCUUUUGAAGAUUGAUCUAUUUAAUUAAUUAAUUUCAUAAUUAAUAAUUUUCUGUUUAAUUGAUAAUUCAUGAAAUUCAAUUCAUCCAUUAUUUGUGAAUUAUAAAUUUGGCACUUUUGGUAAAAUUAAUAAUCAAAAUAAUUUAAUCAAUUUAUUUCCUUGGAGAUUUAAAAUAAUAAUCGAUUUUUUUAUUUACCGAAAUUAAAGAAAUUUAAUUGUUUUUUUCAUGUAUAAUUAAGAGUCAGCCUUAGUGCCAAAUUUAUAAUUGUUAAAAAACACAUAUAUUUGUUUAUGUUUAUGAAAUAUAUAACAUAUUAUAAUAAAGUUUCUAGUAAAGUUGAAGAAAAGAAUAUAUAAACUAUAAGUUUAAGUAAAA
Long non-coding RNA from Bombyx mori (domestic silkworm), 1112 nucleotides. RefSeq lists it as uncharacterized. The transcript is spliced from 2 exons. The record is from RefSeq and is a predicted model, not a curated record. Lineage: Eukaryota; Metazoa; Arthropoda; Insecta; Lepidoptera; Bombycidae.